AUUGAACGCUGGCGGCAUGCUUUACACAUGCAAGUCGAACGGUAACAGGCCUUCGGGUGCUGACGAGUGGCGAACGGGUGAGUAAUGCAUCGGAACGUACCCAGAGGUGGGGGAUAACGCAGCGAAAGCUGUGCUAAUACCGCAUGUGAUCUGAGGAUGAAAGCGGGGGACCGAGCAGCAAUGUUUGGCCUCGCGCCUUUGGAGCGGCCGAUGUCGGAUUAGCUAGUUGGUGGGGUAAAGGCCUACCAAGGCGACGAUCCGUAGCUGGUCUGAGAGGACGCCCGGCACCCCUGGGCUUGAGACAGGGCCCGACUCCCUCCGGGGGGAGGCGGUGGGAAUUUUUGGACAUUGGGCGCAAGCCUGUCCCGCCAAUGCGGCGUGGGGGAAGAGGGCCUUCGGUUUGUAACCCGCCUUUGGAGGGAACAAACGGGGGUCGGCUAAUACCGGGCGCUAAUGCCGUUACCGGCAGAAUAGCACCGGCUAACUACGUG
This 491-nucleotide ribosomal RNA is filed under the name uncultured bacterium. RNAcentral describes it as "partial 16S ribosomal RNA". It matches the Rfam family "Bacterial small subunit ribosomal RNA", at positions 28 to 507 of the family's 1533-position model. The record is from RNAcentral.